Molecule: long non-coding RNA, 4567 nt
Filed under: Homo sapiens (human)
Lineage: Eukaryota; Metazoa; Chordata; Mammalia; Primates; Hominidae
Description: SLC12A2 divergent transcript, transcript variant 12 (SLC12A2-DT)
Source: RNAcentral
UUUUUUUUUUUCCCCCCGCUUUGGUGAACUCGCAGUACUUGGGCUGAGCCCGAAAUCUCGCGAGAUGCUGCAGGCGUCAGUGCGGCUUCCCACUAGGCGCGUGGUACCCGAGGCCGGGCCGGAGCCGCAGGCCAGCCGCGAUUCCUUCGGGCGAUGCUGGGGGCUUUCCGGUCGGGGCCGCAGCCGCUUCCGGAGCCGCGGGCGAGGUGCGUUCCCCAGCCUGGUUUGCUCUGGGCUCUGACCCGCCGCCGCGAAUCUCCGCUCGUAACUCCGGGCCUGAACCUGGAGGAGGGAGGAUUUCCUCUGUGCAGCUUUCGAGCGGUAGACUCACCCUGCCAGGCAGACCUAGAUUGGCAUAACCAGAGAUCAGUUCCAGUUGUGAUGCAGUGGGUGUCUACACACUUCUGAUGACACCUUUAUUUUAAAAGCUGAUGUUCCAAGAUUUUUAGGGCAGUUUUUAGUGUCAUUAUGUUGCUGCUACAUAUUUGGAAGAUGGAACAAGCCCAGACAAAGGAGGAUUCUUUUUUACUCAUCUUAAAUCCAUUUUAUUUUCCUUCAUCUGAGCCCCUUAAAACUAAUGUGUUACUGAUCAUUACAACCUGUGGUUCCAAUUAAAGAUUUUAAAGAGAAGAGUUUAAUCCUGCAACAAUUGGUUAGCCCUUCUUAAUUUAGAGGUACCUUUACAAGUUCUUGAUCACCAAGUCGAUUCACCAUGAUCUUGGCUGGCUGUCUUCUUCCUUCAUGGCUGCUAGUAAUGACAAUUCAGUGGCUGUUUCUUCAGCUGUGCAAAGUUGGAACAUGUUUGGGAGUUCAACGGCAUUGGUUUCUGGUGCAAGCGGUCUUCUCUGUCUUCUUUAUGGCCAGUAAAAUUCUCCAGAAGAGAUUUAUGGCAGCCUCACUCCCAGUAGUUUCUGCAUUUAGUGAGAUAAGUACCCUGGGAUGUCACUCAAGUCUCUUUUUAAACCUAUAUCCACUUCACCUCAUUUGGCUUUUUGCCUAUCAGAGGUGAAACAAAAGAGUGAAAUCUUUGCUUGUGGAAUCCUCUCAUGUCAUCAAUUGUUUAUAAAUGUUUAGUAUUUAAAGGACCACUAAGGGCCAGUGGGGAAAAUGAAUCUUAUGGAUGGAUAUCAUCAUUUUUUGCUACUUAAUAAUGUUAUGGACUUUCAAAUGAGAUUUCUGUAACUGGAAUGAGAAAAAUCCUAAUAAGUUUAGGAUGGGUCAGAAGAUUUGUGCAAUGGAGUGAAUGCUUGUGUGCUUCCCAAAUUUCGUAUGUUGAAACUAUAAUCCCAAUGUGAUAGUAGUUGAUGGAAGGGCCUUUGGACAGUGGAGCCCUCAUGAAUGGGAUUAGUGCUCUUAAAAGAAGAGACCAGAGAGCUAGCUAGCUGUCUUUCCACCAUAUGAGGGUGCAAUGGGAAGCUGGCAGUCUGCAACCAGAAGAGGACCCUCACCAGUCCCUCACCGUUCUAGCACCGUGAACUCAGACUUCAGUCUCCAGAACUGUGAGAAAUAAAUUUCUAUUGUUUAUGUCACCCAGUUUAUAGUACUUUGUUAUAGAAGCUCAAAUUGACUAAGAUAAUUUGGAUAUUAGGUUAUAUCGCUUGCAGGAGGUAUGUAACUUCUUGAAACAUGUAAACUCUCUGUGUUGUGUUCUGCUGCCUAAAUCCACCAGAUAAAUAUUUGGUUUACUUUGCUUGGGAAAACUGUUACUCAAAUGUUCUCUGUACAAAUGCAGGAGAGUAAAAUUAUUUCCCCAUUUUAUAUCAGUAAUUGCUAUUUUAUUUGUCAGUAAGUGUUUCAUUAUGAUUUAAACAAUUGGUAUAAGUAUAUUAAUAUAAUUAUUUACUAGUUGCUAAAAAUAUAUGCUGCAUCUUAUGAAAAUACAUUUAAAAAACACUCGAAUGGGUCAUUUGACAUGAAAGCAUCAUUCGAUUUAGAAUUCAGAGACUAAGUUGCCAAAAGAGGAAAAUAUUUAAUACCAUUCCCUGAAGGCUAGUAAGUUUAUAAUUAGCAGGAUCACCAGAGGGAGUAAAUUUAGAGCUGAAAACCACUCACUGAUUCUGUAGUAUACUUGAAUAAAAUAAGGUCACUGUCCAUGUAGCUGGCCAAAUAGCUUGGCACAAUAUGGAAGAAGGAACUAGUUUGGCAGCCUUGGGAAAUAUGAUUAUUAUAAAAAAUUUUAAUAUUUUUAAUUAAACAAACCAUCAAUUCAUUUUAAAACCAGGAUAUUUCCUCAUUUGAUUAAGUUUUUCAUACUAGAAAAUUAGAAUUGUGACUAUGUGUAUCAGAAUAGAGAUGAACUUUAGGCUCUUUUUGAUAUGGAAUUUGUUCCUGGUUUACUGGCAGCUAUUUCAAGACUUGGGGUUCUAGAAGACCUUUUUCUUAAGUUUUCUCUAUCUCCUAGGAAAGACGUUGAACCCUAAAAUGUCAUUUAAAAGAGUGCCAACUCAAAUUAGAACAUCAUUUACAAUAAAAGACAGUAGGUAAGGUUUACAGCUGUAAUUAACUGGUAAUUCAGGAUAGGAAGCACAAAUUUUUCUAAACUAUCAAAGAUAAUUAAGAGGUUAUGGACUCAGCCUGAAUUAUCCCAGUGGUUCACUGUACAAUUCAAAUAUACAUGGUGACUCUAACUCCAUACUUAUAAUUUUAAGGCUUAUUUUGGAAAAAAAUGCCUUUGCAAGCUUUGAGAUACAUUACUUAAAGCUGCAGAGCCUCUUCUUGAAGACCACUGAAGCUAACUAGCAUAUAUUUCCUGGCUUGAUGAGGUCUUCAAGAGCCUGAUGAUUAUUCCUAGGUUCACGUAUUAUACACAACUAACCAUUUGUCCCAUAGCACCUUAUUUUCUCCAGCUAACAGAUUAAUAGUCUGAAAAAUCUGUUCUCUUAAUUGAACAACUGUCUCUCUCAGAACUCACUGGGAUAAAGCCAAUUGUCCACAAGACAGACAAGUCAGGAAGGGGCCUGACUUCUGAAUGACUGAUGAUCCAUAUCUUAGCAAAGAGAGUUUGACAUAAAAGGGUCUCAUGAACUCUAGGUAAGGCAGGUAGCUAACCUUGAAAGCCUGAUCAGAAGUGACACCUGGAUGGCCUGUCUCUACUGGCCUGCUAUUCAAGGGGAGAGGUGAGGCAAGAGCCCAGUAAGGAGGCCUGGCAAAGGUGAGGCAAGAUUCAUUUCUCUUGGGGUAUCGGAAUAGAAUGAAAAACAGGACCAAGGCAGAAGCUCAGUUAAACAAACCAGUGCCACAGACUCAACCAAGAUUGAAUUCUGUUACCACAGACGCCAAGGAGCCACACAGAACUCCUCUCCAGCUUCCCCAAACCUGCUUUUCUGCCUUUCCCAUUUCAGUAAAUGGCACCACCGUCCAUUUUCCCCAGGUCUCCCAUGCUAGACAUGUUACUUUUUUUGUCUCUUAGCUCCAAAUAUCUGCUGUAGGCUUUCAUAAUAAAGUUUGACUGCAUAUUAAAACUGUAGCAAAAACACUGGCAGACUAAAAGCUGAUUUCAUUUCCUUAAAGGUAAAAAGAACUUAGUUUUACAAAUAUGGGACCCAUCUCCACACUUUGAAGGGGGUCGGAAAUAUUUGUUUUAUGUCCUGAGGUUACAAAUAAGGGGUGAUGCUCCUCCUCAUAGAUUUAUUAGAAUCUCCCUUCUAAUACUAAAAAUAAAAGGGAAAAUUCCAUAUUAAAACAGGCUAAUUGUUUAUAUCCAGCAGACAGAUACCGGCUGGAAAACCUUUAUUUUUGAAGGAAAGUACUUAUGUAAUUUCUAAACAUAAGAAAAAUAAUGGGCUUUGCUCUCUUUUUUUGCUGGUUAGUUUUGCUAAUUACUUGAGCCUUCUGGCAAGAACAUUGAAAUGAUAAUUUUAUCAGUUUAGUCACUUUUUGUCAUAUGUGAAAAAUGAGUUACUGACAUUUGUCAAUCAGUCUUUGCCUUAUUCCUCUGGUUGGUGUGAAACAAAGUGGUGCAGAGAAUUUUAGACUGUUGCUACCAUUUGUACUCCAAAUGAUAGCAUAUUCCUGAUUUUCAAUAACCAGAUAAGGAUGGACUUUUCUUGCCUGUGCCACCAAAUAUCAUUCCUAAUAAAACACCAAAGUUUAUCAUCUUGUGAUAAACAUAGAGAAACUCUAUUCAAGAUAGGUGCACAUCUACUUGUAAUUAGAAUUAGUUAAUGAGACUAAGCAUUCUAAAUGUCCUGCUUCACAGCAGGUACUAUGGGGAAUUGAGUUCAUUUGGUAAUAUAUUUUGAUUUUGUCUGAUUUCUAAUAAGACUGAUGAACUAUCCCCUAAACAUUUUUAUUAGCACAUAGUAUGUGUCAGCUCUUGGGGUUGAUACCAUGAAGAGUAAGAUACAAUCUCACUACCUAGAAAUGAGUCUACCCAAAUAGAGACUCUUUUUAAUGCUUUCAACCCAUAAAAACAUUUUUGGGGGGAUUCUACUGAAGAAGCAAUGGAGACAUCCAUUGGAGGUUAACAGUAUUCCUUUGAGUGGUGUGAUUAAAGGUGCUUUUAUAUUUUCCAAGUUUUUAGUUUGUUUGUUUUGCAGAAAAUGUAUUUAAUGUUCUAUAAGUGGGA